Molecule: ribosomal RNA, 875 nt
Filed under: uncultured bacterium
Lineage: Bacteria
Description: bacterial SSU rRNA
Rfam family: Bacterial small subunit ribosomal RNA
Source: RNAcentral
AGAGUUUGAUCAUGGCUCAGAACGAACGCCGGCGGCGUGCUUAACACAUGCAAGUCGAACGCGAAAGCCUGGGCAACUGGGCGAGUAGAGUGGCGAACGGGUGAGUAAGACGUGAGUAACCUACCCUCGAGUGGGGAAUAACUCCUCGAAAGGGGAGCUAAUACCGCAUAAGACCACGACUUCUGCGGGAGUUGGGGUCAAAGGUGGCCUCAUCGACUAGAGCGUUUGGGUACACAUUCUGAUGCGUCGGGAGAAUGUGUGCCCCAGCGCUUUAUCAGUGAAGCGAUCGCUUGAGGAGGGGCUCGCGGCCCAUCAGCUAGUUGGUAGGGUAAUGGCCUACCAAGGCGACGACGGGUAGCUGGUCUGAGAGGACGACCAGCCACACGGGAAUUGAGAUACGGUCCCGACUCCUACGGGAGGCAGCAGUGGGGAAUCUUGGGCAAUGGGGGAAACCCUGACCCAGCGACGCCGCGUGGGGGAUGAAGGCCUUCGGGUUGUAAACCCCUGUUCGGUGGGACGAACAUUUUCCCAUCAAUAGUGGGAAAAUCUGACGGUACCACCAGAGUAAGCCCCGGCUAACUCCGUGCCAGCAGCCGCGGUAAUACGGAGGGGGCAAGUGUUGUUCGGAAUUACUGGGCGUAAAGGGCGCGCAGGCGGCUUGGCAAGUCGAGUGUGAAAUACCUCAGCUUAACUGAGGAAUGGCGCUCGAAACUACCUCGCUAGAGGGCGGGAGAGGGAAGUGGAACUCUCGGUGUAGGGGUGAAAUCUGUAGAUAUCGAGAGGAACACCGGUGGCGAAGGCGGCUUCCUGGCCCGUACCUGACGCUGAGGCGCGAAAGCGUGGGGAGCAAACAGGAUUAGAUACCCCCGUAGUCC